Non-coding RNA from Pelobates cultripes (western spadefoot toad), 130 nucleotides. The record is from the annotation of a GenBank genome assembly. Lineage: Eukaryota; Metazoa; Chordata; Amphibia; Anura; Pelobatidae.
GUGUGUCUGUGAGUGUAUGUGUGUGUCUGUGAGUAUGUAUGUGUGUGUGUACAUAUAUAUAUAUAUAUAUAUAUAUAUACACACAUAUAUAUAUAUAUAUACACACACACACAUACACACGCAGAGCCGG